GAUGAACGCUGGCGGCGUGCCUAAUACAUGCAAGUAGAACGCUGAAGGAGGAGCUUGCUCUUCUGGAUGAGUUGCGAACGGGUGAGUAACGCGUAGGUAACCUGCCUGGUAGCGGGGGAUAACUAUUGGAAACGAUAGCUAAUACCGCAUGACAACAGUUAUUGCAUGAUAACUGUUUAAAAGGGGCAACUGCUCCACUACCAGAUGGACCUGCGUUGUAUUAGCUAGUUGGUGAGGUAACGGCUCACCAAGGCGACGAUACAUAGCCGACCUGAGAGGGGGAUCGGCCACACUGGGACUGAGACACGGCCCAGACGCCUACGGGAGGCAGCAGUAGGGAAUCUUCGGCAAUGGACGGAAGUCUGACCGAGCAACGCCGCGUGAGUGAAGAAGGUUGUCGGAUCGUAAAGCUCUGUUGUAAGAGAAGAACGAGUGUGAGAGUGGAAAGUUCACACUGUGACGGUAUCUUACCAGAAAGGGACGGCUAACUACGUG
RNAcentral lists this ribosomal RNA (495 nucleotides) under uncultured bacterium. Its description in RNAcentral is "partial 16S ribosomal RNA". It matches the Rfam family "Bacterial small subunit ribosomal RNA", at positions 28 to 507 of the family's 1533-position model. The record is from RNAcentral.